This 20-nucleotide microRNA is filed under the name Ananas comosus (pineapple). RNAcentral describes it as "microRNA 164g". Lineage: Eukaryota; Viridiplantae; Streptophyta; Magnoliopsida; Poales; Bromeliaceae. The record is from RNAcentral.
UGGAGAAGCAGGGCACGUGA